This 636-nucleotide ribosomal RNA is filed under the name uncultured bacterium. Its description in RNAcentral is "bacterial SSU rRNA". It matches the Rfam family "Bacterial small subunit ribosomal RNA", at positions 169 to 803 of the family's 1533-position model. The record is from RNAcentral.
CCCAAUGAUAUCUCUAGAAGGCAUCUGAAAGAGAUUAAAGAUUUAUCGGUGAUGGAUGGGGAUGCGUCUGAUUAGCUUGUUGGCGGGGUAACGGCCCACCAAGGCAACGAUCAGUAGGGGUUCUGAGAGGAAGGUCCCCCACAUUGGAACUGAGACACGGUCCAAACUCCUACGGGAGGCAGCAGUGAGGAAUAUUGGUCAAUGGACGAGAGUCUGAACCAGCCGAGUAGCGUGCAGGAUGACGGCCCUAUGGGUUGUAAACUGCUUUUAUAAGGGAAUAAAGUGAGUCUCGUGAGACUUUUUGCAUGUACCUUAUGAAUAAGGACCGGCUAAUUCCGUGCCAGCAGCCGCGGUAAUACGGAAGGUCCGGGCGUUAUCCGGAUUUAUUGGGUUUAAAGGGAGCGUAGGCCGGAGAUUAAGCGUGUUGUGAAAUGUAGAUGCUCAACAUCUGAACUGCAGCGCGAACUGGUUUCCUUGAGUACGCACAAAGUGGGCGGAAUUCGUGGUGUAGCGGUGAAAUGCUUAGAUAUCACGAAGAACUCCGAUUGCGAAGGCAGCUCACUGGAGCGCAACUGACGCUGAAGCUCGAAAGUGCGGGUAUCGAACAGGAUUAGAUACCCUGGUAGUCCGCACGGU